This is a long non-coding RNA of Oncorhynchus tshawytscha (Chinook salmon), 660 nucleotides long. RefSeq lists it as uncharacterized. The record is from RefSeq and is a predicted model, not a curated record. NCBI's taxonomy places the organism in Eukaryota, Metazoa, Chordata, Actinopteri, Salmoniformes, Salmonidae. The transcript is spliced from 2 exons.
CUAGAGUCAGCUCUACAGCUAACAGUUACUACCCAUAGAGUCAGCUCUACAGCUAACAGUUACUACCCAUAGAGUCAGCUCUACAGCUAACAGUUACUACCCAUAGAGUCAGCUCUAAGGCUAACAGUUACUACCCAUAGAGUCAGCUCUACGGCUAACAGUUACUACCCAUAGAGUCAGCUCUACAGCUAACAGUUACUACCCAUAGAGUCAGCUCUACAGCUAACAGUUACUACCCAUAGAGUCAGCUCUACAGCUAACAGUUACUACCCAUAGAGUCAGCUCUACAGCUAACAGUUACUACCCAUAGAGUCAGCUCUAAUGCUAACAGUUACUACCCAUAGAGUCAGCUCUAAUGCUAACAUUACUACCCAUAGAGUCAGCUCUACAGCUAACAGUUACUACCCAUAGAGUCAGCUCUACAGCUAACAGUUACUACCCAUAGAGUCAGCUCUACAGCUAACAGUUACUACCCAUAGAGUCAGCUCUACAGCUAACAGUUACUACCCAUAGAGUCAGCUCUACAGCUAACAGUUACUACCCAUAGAGUCAGCUCUAAGGCUAACAGUUACUACCCAUAGAGUCAGCUCUACAGCUAACAGUUACUACCCAUAGAGUCAGCUCUACAGCUAACAGUUACUACCCAUAGAGUCAGCUCUC